GAUGAACGCUGGCGGCGUGCCUAAUACAUGCAAGUCGAGCGAACAGACGAGGAGCUUGCUCCUCUGACGUUAGCGGCGGACGGGUGAGUAACACGUGGAUAACCUACCUAUAAGACUGGGAUAACUUCGGGAAACCGGAGCUAAUACCGGAUAAUAUAUUGAACCGCAUGGUUCAAUAGUGAAAGACGGUUUUGCUGUCACUUAUAGAUGGAUCCGCGCCGCAUUAGCUAGUUGGUAAGGUAACGGCUUACCAAGGCAACGAUGCGUAGCCGACCUGAGAGGGGGAUCGGCCACACUGGAACUGAGACACGGGCCAGACUCCUACGGGAGGCAGCAGUAGGGAAUCUUCCGCAAUGGGCGAAAGCCUGACGGAGCAACGCCGCGGGAGUGAUGAAGGUCUUCGGAUCGUAAAACUCUGUUAUGAGGGAAGAACAAAUGUGUAAGUAACUAUGCACGUCUGGACGGUACCUAAUCAGAAAGCCACGGCUAACUACGU
RNAcentral lists this ribosomal RNA (496 nucleotides) under uncultured bacterium. RNAcentral describes it as "partial 16S ribosomal RNA". It matches the Rfam family "Bacterial small subunit ribosomal RNA", at positions 28 to 506 of the family's 1533-position model. The record is from RNAcentral.